Molecule: transfer RNA, 236 nt
Filed under: Marmota monax (woodchuck)
Lineage: Eukaryota; Metazoa; Chordata; Mammalia; Rodentia; Sciuridae
Description: tRNA.Thr
Source: RNAcentral
GGGGUUGUGGCUCAGGGGUAGAGUGCUUGCCUAGUAUAGGAGGCACUGGAUUUGAUCCUCAGGACUACAUUAUAAAUAAAUAAAAUAAAGGUAUUGUGUCCAUCCACAAAUUAAAAAAAAAAAAAGAAAAUAAGCAAAAGAAAGUUAUUUAAAAAAGAAGAAAAUGGGGCUGGGGCUAUAGCUCAAAGCACUAACUUUGCAGGUCUGAGGCCCUGAGUUUGAUCCUCAGCACCACA